GAUGAACGCUGGCGGCGUGCCUAAUACAUGCAAGUCGAGCGAACAGACGAGGAGCUUGCUCCUCUGACGUUAGCGGCGGACGUGUGAGUAACACGUGUAUAACCUACCUAUAAGACUGGGAUAACUUCGGGAAACCGGAGCUAAUACCGGAUAAUAUAUUGAACCGCAUGGUUCAAUAGUGAAAGACGGUUUUGCUGUCACUUAUAGAUGGAUCCGCGCCGCAUUAGCUAGUUGGUAAGGUAAAGGCUUACCAAGGCGACGAUGCGUAGCCGACCUGAGAGGGUGAUCGGCCACACUGGAACUGAGACACGGUCCAGACUCCUACGGGAGGCAGCAGUAGGGAAUCUUCCGCAAUGGGCGAAAGCCUGACGGAGCAACGCCGCGUGAGUGAUGAAGGUCUUCGGAUCGUAAAACUCUGUUAUUAGGGAAGAACAAAUGUGUAAGUAACUGUGCACGUCUUGACGGUACCUAGUCAGAAAGCCACGGCUAACUACGUG
Molecule: ribosomal RNA, 497 nt
Filed under: uncultured bacterium
Lineage: Bacteria
Description: partial 16S ribosomal RNA
Rfam family: Bacterial small subunit ribosomal RNA
Source: RNAcentral